Long non-coding RNA from Mustela erminea (ermine), 81 nucleotides. RefSeq lists it as uncharacterized. The transcript is spliced from 3 exons. The record is from RefSeq and is a predicted model, not a curated record. Lineage: Eukaryota; Metazoa; Chordata; Mammalia; Carnivora; Mustelidae.
GCAGAGAGAGAAGAGGAAGCAGACUCCCGGCUGAGUGGGGGCCCGGCGCGGGGCUCCGUCCCACGACCCUGCGUUCACGCC